RNAcentral lists this long non-coding RNA (709 nucleotides) under Malus domestica (apple). Its description in RNAcentral is "long non-coding RNA (MDOM_LNC013762)". Lineage: Eukaryota; Viridiplantae; Streptophyta; Magnoliopsida; Rosales; Rosaceae. The record is from RNAcentral.
AAUGACAAGCUUUACAAUUUUCAUGAAGAGCUUAGCUUCGAAAUUCGCCUCUAUAAUCAUAUAAAUCAUAGAUCAAAAUUUAACCGUUGAUUGUUGUUUAUAUUUACGUUUCAUUGUUCUCAUCAAAUUUUGUUUUUUCAUAUUUUCUUUUUUGAAAACUUGAUCUAUUAGAGGAUGCAGGAAGAUGAACGGUUUGGAUCGAUGAUAUUAUAUUCAGAGUUUUACGGUUAGUGAAAAUAUUGCUUGAUGUUUAUAAAAUUUCUACAAAUUAUAUGACAUCGACUCAUAUUUCAGCUAACCGUAAAUAUUGAAACGUGAUAUCAAAAAUCUGAACCGUUCCUCUUCUUACAUCCGCCAGUUGAUCAUGUUUUCAAAAAAGAAAAUUUUAAAAAUGAAAUUCAGUAAGAAGAAUAAAGCGUAAAUGACAAUCGACAGUUAAAUAUAAAUUUAAGGUUUAUGAACUAUAGUGUUGGAUUUCGAAGCUGACCCGUUCAUGAAAGCUGUAAAGUUUGUCACUAUGAGUGAUUGUAUUUUUUUUUUUUUUUUACAUUUUUCACACUUCUGCAAUAAUUAUUAUUAAUUUUAUUAAUUUUGCCCUCAAAUAAACAACAUUAUUCAUGAAGGUUUGGAGGAUUUUAAAAAUCUAAACGAUAAUGUAAGUGUAACCAUUAUCUACUCGUGGAUGAAUAAUGAUGAAUCACGAGUGUUU